This is a non-coding RNA of Phalacrocorax carbo (great cormorant), 1395 nucleotides long. The record is from RefSeq and is a predicted model, not a curated record. NCBI's taxonomy places the organism in Eukaryota, Metazoa, Chordata, Aves, Suliformes, Phalacrocoracidae.
GCCCCGCCGGCCCCGGCCCCUCAGCGCCCCGCUGGACCCCGCCGCCCGCUCCCUCCCUCCCCUCCCGCCGCACCUGGGAGCGGCGCUACCGGGGCCGCCGCGCCGCCGUCGCCUCCGCCAUGCCUCCCCGCGGCGGCGGGGAGGGGACAGCCCGUCCCAGGCGCGGGAUGCUCCGCCGGGGGCGGCGGGGGCCCGGCUGCGGCCCGGCUCACGGCAGGCGUAGCCUUAAAGGGGCCGAGCCGCCGCCGCCGCCGGGCUCGGCUCGCCACCUCUGAGGGGAAGGCGGCUGCCCCCGGUCCCUCCUUCCCUCCUUCCCUCCCGCCCCGCUCUCCGCAGCCGCUCCCCCGGCGCCUCGGAGCCGGGGCUGGGGCUGCGUCGCGGCCCCCCCGCCGGGCGAGGAGGAGGAGGCGGCCGGCCACGGUGCCGCCGGCCAGCCCGGCACCGAGCCUGCCCGCCGCCUCUCUGGGAGCAGCGUGUGUGCCCCGGGCGGGCUCGCAGGUCCCCGCGUCCUGCCCACUGCAGGGGGCUGAGACCGGCUUCGGUGUUGGGGGGAGGUACCGCGGGGAAAAUGCUGGUGCCACCGAUCGCGCCCCAGGAACCCGUUUAUGCAUCCUCGAUAGCGUUGUGCAGGAUGAUAGGUGAUGCACCAUCCUAUGGAGAAAAGGAUUCCUGAUCUUUCAGAUAAAUAAUUUAAAAAUUGUCCUCUCAGACAACAUAAUAUCGAAGGUAUUCGUAUGCGUCUCGCAGCAUAUUGAGCUGCGGCCGACAGAGAAAUCAUCUACCCUGCUUGGGUGCACUAAUCUCUCUUGCAAGACAUCUCCCACGGCAGGAAUGCUGAGGCUUAAGCCUGAACAGAGACCGAUGUUGGCUUUCCUUAAUACGCAGAUCUGCGAAACGCAGAAGCUGAGGUACUGAUUAAUGAGGCGCUGAGCCAUCCCUGCUGAGGAAACCGUAACCUGUAUGAGGGGGACAGGGCGCACCCCCGGCAUCUGUAACUGUUUCAAGCCAUCUCCGCUUAAUCCAUUGCUAAACAUAAAUCAACUGGUGGAUAAAGCAUUUGUGUAAACAUCAGAACUACUUAAAGUUUGACUUCCCAUGGGCUUGCGGCUUAUGGUUGACCAGCUUUUAAAUGGAAUUUUGUUAACAAAAUCCCACAAGAUGUUCUUGGCUGAGUGAAGGAGGAGAUCCCAUUCCUACUUCCAAUCUUCUUCCAUUCCAGAAACAGACGGACAAAUAAAGACAGCAACAUCGUAUCAACACAAUCUCUUAGUGAAAUGGGGAUAAAAACCUCUUCUUUUACUCUCACGUCCUAUAAUUUUAUUCGUCAUAUAAAGGAAGAUUUCAACCUAUUUUCUAUUAUGUCUACAGUUCUUAGUGAAACAGAACAGCUGCUAA